GCUGGCGGUAGGCUUAACACAUGCAAGUCGAGCGAGAAAGUAUCUUCGGAUACGAGUAUAGCGGCGGACGGGUGAGUAACGCGUAGGAAUCUACCUAGUAGAAGGGGAUAGCCCGGGGAAACUCGGAUUAAUACCGUAUACCUCCUUUGGGAGAAAGAGGGCCUCUCUUGAUGCUCUCGCUAUUAGAUGAGCCUGCGUAAGAUUAGCUUGUUGGUAAGGUAAUGGCUUACCAAGGCUACGAUCUUUAGCUGGUCUGAGAGGACGAUCAGCCACAUUGGGACUGAGACACGGCCCAGACUCCUACGGGAGGCAGCAGUGGGGAAUAUUGGACAAUGGGCGCAAGCCUGAUCCAGCCAUACCGCGUGUGUGAAGAAGGCCUUCGGGUUGUAAAGCACUUUAAGCAGGGAGAAAAAGUUAUAAGUUAAUACCUUAUAGCCGUGAUGUUACCUGCAGAAUAAGCACCGGCUAAUUCCGUGCCAGCAGCCGCGGUAAUACGGAAGGUGCAAGCGUUAAUCGGAAUUACUGGGCGUAAAGCGCGCGUAGGUGGUUUGUUAAGUUGGAUGUGAAAGCCCUGGGCUCAACCUAGGAACUGCAUCCAAAACUAACUCACUAGAGUACGAUAGAGGGAGGUAGAAUUCAUAGUGUAGCGGUGGAAUGCGUAGAUAUUAUGAAGAAUACCAGUGGCGAAGGCGGCCUCCUGGAUCUGUACUGACACUAAGGUGCGAAAGCGUGGGUAGCGAACAGGAUUAGAUACCCUGGUAGUCCACGCCGUAAACGAUGACAACUAGCUGUUGGGAGACAAUGUCUUUCAGUGGCGCAGCUAACGUUUUAAGUUGUCCGCCUGGGGAGUACGGCC
This 856-nucleotide ribosomal RNA is filed under the name uncultured Gammaproteobacteria bacterium. RNAcentral's name for it is "bacterial SSU rRNA". It matches the Rfam family "Bacterial small subunit ribosomal RNA", at positions 35 to 887 of the family's 1533-position model. The record is from RNAcentral. Lineage: Bacteria; Pseudomonadati; Pseudomonadota; Gammaproteobacteria.